This 254-nucleotide ribosomal RNA is filed under the name uncultured bacterium. RNAcentral's name for it is "partial 16S ribosomal RNA". It matches the Rfam family "Archaeal small subunit ribosomal RNA", at positions 474 to 727 of the family's 1478-position model. The record is from RNAcentral.
UACGAGCACCCCGAGUGGUCGGGACGUUUUAUUGGGCCUAAAGCAUCCGUAGCCGGUUCUACAAGUCUUCCGUUAAAUCCAACUGCUUAACAGGUGGGCUGCGGAAGAUACUAUAGAGCUAGGAGGCGGGAGAGGCAAGCGGUACUCGAUGGGUAGGGGUAAAAUCCGUUGAUCCAUUGAAGACCACCAGUGGCGAAGGCGGCUUGCCAGAACGCGCUCGACGGUGAGGGAUGAAAGCUGGGGGAGCAAACCGG